AGGAACUUAGGAUAAUUUAAACCAAAAGCCUUCAAAGCUUUAAAUAGGAGUGAAAACCCCCUAGUCCCUG
RNAcentral lists this transfer RNA (70 nucleotides) under Pantodon buchholzi (freshwater butterflyfish). RNAcentral's name for it is "tRNA-Trp". It matches the Rfam family "tRNA". From Rfam's summary of the family: Transfer RNA (tRNA) molecules are approximately 80 nucleotides in length. Their secondary structure includes four short double-helical elements and three loops (D, anti-codon, and T loops). The record is from RNAcentral. Lineage: Eukaryota; Metazoa; Chordata; Actinopteri; Osteoglossiformes; Pantodontidae.